GUGCCUUUACUAUGUGGUAACAUUGAUUUCUUGAUGUAUACUUGAUGAUAUAUGAAUGAUUAAAAAAAUAUUAAGAUGUGAGAGAAAGAAUGAUUUAGAGAUAUAAAGACACAAAGGUAUCAAGGUACUAGUACCAAGCUUCAAAGGUAAGGAAUCCUCUAUUAGGGAGUCUUGCAGGUAUGCCAGGCUUUGAUGGAGUGUUGCACCUGUUUUCCCCUGGUGAUGAGUAAGUGGUUUGGGGAGCUUAGUUGGACUUGCGUCAUUUUUAAUUCCUGUAACGCAGUCAGCGUAUGUUUGGGUUGGAGCUUGCUAACGAGUUGGGUCAAUUUGGUGUGUUUUCUGGCCAGGGCGUCUGGUAGUGUUGGGGUGGGUCUUUGUUCUAUAAUCUUCUGGUUUCUGGUUUGUUAGAGGUGCUGGGAGUGCUCUUUUGUUUGUCUGGUGUGGUGUAUGUAUCUGUAAUUUUGGCUAGCUAGUAGUGGCAUUUCAUAUGCCGGAAUGUUAUUCUUUAAUAAAGUAAUUUAUUUUGGCUUUGAAAAAAAUUAGUUAAUAGUGCCACCUCAUCAAUUUAAUGA
Molecule: long non-coding RNA, 572 nt
Filed under: Lathyrus oleraceus (garden pea)
Lineage: Eukaryota; Viridiplantae; Streptophyta; Magnoliopsida; Fabales; Fabaceae
Description: Pisum sativum (pea) long non-coding RNA (PSAT_LNC040234)
Source: RNAcentral